UACGAAGGGGGCUAGCGUUGCUCGGAAUCACUGGGCGUAAAGCGCACGUAGGCGGCUUUCUAAGUCAGGGGUGAAAUCCUGGAGCUCAACUCCAGAACUGCCUUUGAUACUGUGCGACUAGAGUGCAGAAGGGGCAACUGGAAUUCUCGGUGUAGCGGUGAAAUGCGUAGAUAUCGAGAGGAACACCUGCGGCGAAGGCGGGUUGCUGGGCUGACACUGACGCUGAGGCGCGAAAGCGUGGGGAGCAAACAGG
RNAcentral lists this ribosomal RNA (253 nucleotides) under uncultured bacterium. Its description in RNAcentral is "partial 16S ribosomal RNA". It matches the Rfam family "Bacterial small subunit ribosomal RNA", at positions 524 to 776 of the family's 1533-position model. The record is from RNAcentral.